RNAcentral lists this ribosomal RNA (338 nucleotides) under swine manure bacterium M17.2.1. RNAcentral's name for it is "bacterial SSU rRNA". It matches the Rfam family "Bacterial small subunit ribosomal RNA", at positions 1158 to 1496 of the family's 1533-position model. The record is from RNAcentral.
UAUAACUGGAGGAAGGUGGGGAUGACGUCAAGUCAUCAUGGCCCUUACGAGUAGGGCUACACACGUGCUACAAUGGCAGAUACAAAGAGAAGCGACCUCGCGAGAGCAAGCGGAACUCAUAAAGUCUGUCGUAGUCCGGAUUGGAGUCUGCAACUCGACUCCAUGAAGUCGGAAUCGCUAGUAAUCGUAGAUCAGAAUGCUACGGUGAAUACGUUCCCGGGCCUUGUACACACCGCCCGUCACACCAUGGGAGUGGGUUGCAAAAGAAGUAGGUAGCUUAACCUUCGGGAGGGCGCUUACCACUUUGUGAUUCAUGACUGGGGUGAAGUCGAGCAGGA